GCAGUAGCCGCGGGAAUACAGAGGGUGCGAGCGUUAAUCGGAUUUACUGGGCGUAAAGCGUGCGUAGGCGGCUUUUUAAGUCGGAUGUGAAAUCCCUGAGCUUAACUUAGGAAUUGCAUUCGAUACUGGGAAGCUAGAGUAUGGGAGAGGAUGGUAGAAUUCCAGGUGUAGCGGUGAAAUGCGUAGAGAUCUGGAGGAAUACCGAUGGCGAAGGCAGCCAUCUGGCCUAAUACUGACGCUGAGGUACGAAAGCAUGGGGAGCAAACAGGAUUAGAGACCCCUGUAGUCCCUGUCUCUUAUAC
RNAcentral lists this ribosomal RNA (302 nucleotides) under uncultured bacterium. RNAcentral describes it as "partial 16S ribosomal RNA". It matches the Rfam family "Bacterial small subunit ribosomal RNA", at positions 508 to 807 of the family's 1533-position model. The record is from RNAcentral.